UACGGAAGGCAGCAGUGGGGAAUAUUGCACAAUGGGCGCAAGCCUGAUGCAGCCAUGCCGCGUGUAUGAAGAAGGCCUUCGGGUUGUAAAGUACUUUCAGUCGUGAGGAAGGUGUUAAGGUUAAUAACCUUAGCAAUUGACGUUAGCGACAGAAGAAGCACCGGCUAACUCCGUGCCAGCAGCCGCGGUAAUACGGAGGGUGCGAGCGUUAAUCGGAAUUACUGGGCGUAAAGGGCACGCAGGCGGUUAAUUAAGUUGGAUGUGAAAUCCCCGGGCUUAACCUGGGAAUGGCAUUCAAGACUGGUUAGCUAGAGUCUUGUAGAGGGGGUAGAAUUCCGAUGUGUAGCGGUGAAAUGCGUAGAGAUGUGGAGGAAUACCGGUGGGCGAAGGCGGCCCCUGGGACAAAGGACUGACGCUCAUGUGCGAAAGCGUGGGGAGCGAAACAGGGAUUAGAUACC
RNAcentral lists this ribosomal RNA (458 nucleotides) under uncultured bacterium. RNAcentral describes it as "bacterial SSU rRNA". It matches the Rfam family "Bacterial small subunit ribosomal RNA", at positions 340 to 786 of the family's 1533-position model. The record is from RNAcentral.